GCGACAUGUCCUUACUUGUAUAUUUUGGUUGAAAGGGUGCGCAUACAAUAAAUGGGAGUUUUUGUCCAUCUUACAUUUAGAAUUACGCGUAAAGUGGUAUUACUCAUUAACCAAACAUAUUAAAGACCUAGGGUCUUUUGAUUUAAGGUCCUUGGUUUGUGACCUUGAAAUUGAGGUCAAGGUCAUAGGUUAAUACAACGUUCUAGAUUUUGACCUUUGCUUUAAAUUCAUAUAAAUACAUCAUAAAGCCAUAGGAACUAACAUUUUAAACUGAUUUUUCAUAUUUCAAUAUCAAAAUAGAUCUUUACUAGUGGAAAGACCUACAAUUGUUCUCUGAACAAUUGGUUUUUAAUUAUUAUUAUUAUUAUUAUUAUUUUUUUUUUUUUUUCUUCCGCCUAAAUUUUUUUCUUGCGUAGUAUUGAUGUUUCAAAAGAUGUCGCUUAGAUAUUUGGAAUAUGAUAUCGUAUAGUUUAUACGCUUUAAAAAUUUACAACUGCGUAACAAAAUACUUUACGUUGUAAGAGUUAUCUCCCCAAACACUGUUUUUCUUGUGGCCACUACUCCUUCGCAACCGUAAAAGAUUACGACAAAUUUAUUUUACCAAAUUGCUCGUUACAUCUUCAGGAUUAGGAUAUUCAUUUGGACCGAAGCUUAUCCGGAGACUCCAUAUGAGAGUUAUUUCCCCCUUAUCUAUUUAGUAUAAGUGAUAUGCAUUUCUAACUGGUAAACCAUAAGUGAUAGAGACCUAGGGUCUUUGGAUUUGAGGUCCUU
Molecule: long non-coding RNA, 771 nt
Filed under: Mytilus galloprovincialis (Mediterranean mussel)
Lineage: Eukaryota; Metazoa; Mollusca; Bivalvia; Mytilida; Mytilidae
Source: RNAcentral